RNAcentral lists this ribosomal RNA (1660 nucleotides) under Campylobacter coli. RNAcentral's name for it is "partial 23S ribosomal RNA". It matches the Rfam family "Bacterial large subunit ribosomal RNA", at positions 1283 to 2925 of the family's 2925-position model. Lineage: Bacteria; Pseudomonadati; Campylobacterota; Epsilonproteobacteria; Campylobacterales; Campylobacteraceae. The record is from RNAcentral.
UAGAAGUGAGCAUGCAGGCAUGAGUAGCGAUAAUUAAUGUGAGAAUCAUUAACGCCGUAAACCCAAGGUUUCCUACGCGAUGCUCGUCAUCGUAGGGUUAGUCGGGUCCUAAGUCGAGUCCGAAAGGGGUAGACGAUGGCAAAUUGGUUAAUAUUCCAAUACCAACAUUAGUGUGCGAUGGAAGGACGCUUAGGGCUAAGGGGGCUAGCGGAUGGAAGUGCUAGUCUAAGGUCGUAGGAGGUUAUACAGGCAAAUCCGUAUAACAAUACUCCGAGAACUGAAAGGCUUUUUGAAGUCUUCGGAUGGAUAGAAGAACCCCUGAUGCCGUCGAGCCAAGAAAAGUUUCUAAGUUUAGCUAAUGUUGCCCGUACCGUAAACCGACACAGGUGGGUGGGAUGAGUAUUCUAAGGCGCGUGGAAGAACUCUCUUUAAGGAACUCUGCAAAAUAGCACCGUAUCUUCGGUAUAAGGUGUGGUUCGCUUCGUAUUAGGAUUUACUCCGAAAGCGAAGAAACUUACAACAAAGAGUCCCUCCCGACUGUUUACCAAAAACACAGCACUCUGCUAACUCGUAAGAGGAUGUAUAGGGUGUGACGCCUGCCCGGUGCUCGAAGGUUAAUUGAUGGGGUUAGCAUUAGCGAAGCUCUUGAUCGAAGCCCGAGUAAACGGCGGCCGUAACUAUAACGGUCCUAAGGUAGCGAAAUUCCUUGUCGGUUAAAUACCGACCUGCAUGAAUGGCGUAACGAGAUGGGAGCUGUCUCAAAGAGGGAUCCAGUGAAAUUGUAGUGGAGGUGAAAAUUCCUCCUACCCGCGGCAAGACGGAAAGACCCCGUGGACCUUUACUACAGCUUGACACUGCUAUUUGGAUAAGAAUGUGCAGGAUAGGUGGGAGGCUUUGAGUAUAUGACGCCAGUUGUAUAUGAGCCAUUGUUGAGAUACCACUCUUUCUUAUUUGGGUAGCUAACCAGCUUGAGUUAUCCUCAAGUGGGACAAUGUCUGGUGGGUAGUUUGACUGGGGCGGUCGCCUCCCAAAUAAUAACGGAGGCUUACAAAGGUUGGCUCAGAACGGUUGGAAAUCGUUCGUAGAGUAUAAAGGUAUAAGCCAGCUUAACUGCAAGACAUACAAGUCAAGCAGAGACGAAAGUCGGUCUUAGUGAUCCGGUGGUUCUGUGUGGAAGGGCCAUCGCUCAAAGGAUAAAAGGUACCCCGGGGAUAACAGGCUGAUCUCCCCCAAGAGCUCACAUCGACGGGGAGGUUUGGCACCUCGAUGUCGGCUCAUCGCAUCCUGGGGCUGGAGCAGGUCCCAAGGGUAUGGCUGUUCGCCAUUUAAAGCGGUACGCGAGCUGGGUUCAGAACGUCGUGAGACAGUUCGGUCCCUAUCUGCCGUGGGCGUAAGAAGAUUGAAGAGAUUUGACCCUAGUACGAGAGGACCGGGUUGAACAAACCACUGGUGUAGCUGUUGUUCUGCCAAGAGCAUCGCAGCGUAGCUAAGUUUGGAAAGGAUAAACGCUGAAAGCAUCUAAGCGUGAAGCCAACUCUAAGAUGAAUCUUCUCUAAGCUCUCUAGAAGACUACUAGUUUGAUAGGCUGGGUGUGUAAUGGAUGAAAGUCCUUUAGCUGACCAGUACUAAUAGAGCGUUUGGCUUAUCUUUAAUAAAGCAU